This 287-nucleotide ribosomal RNA is filed under the name Escherichia sp. S69_ASV_4. RNAcentral describes it as "partial 23S ribosomal RNA". It matches the Rfam family "Bacterial large subunit ribosomal RNA", at positions 1 to 288 of the family's 2925-position model. Lineage: Bacteria; Pseudomonadati; Pseudomonadota; Gammaproteobacteria; Enterobacterales; Enterobacteriaceae. The record is from RNAcentral.
GGUUAAGCGACUAAGCGUACACGGUGGAUGCCCUGGCAGUCAGAGGCGAUGAAGGACGUGCUAAUCUGCGAUAAGCGUCGGUAAGGUGAUAUGAACCGUUAUAACCGGCGAUUUCCGAAUGGGGAAACCCAGUGUGAUUCGUCACACUAUCAUUAACUGAAUCCAUAGGUUAAUGAGGCGAACCGGGGGAACUGAAACAUCUAAGUACCCCGAGGAAAAGAAAUCAACCGAGAUUCCCCCAGUAGCGGCGAGCGAACGGGGAGCAGCCCAGAGCCUGAAUCAGUGUG